RNAcentral lists this ribosomal RNA (401 nucleotides) under uncultured bacterium. RNAcentral describes it as "partial 16S ribosomal RNA". It matches the Rfam family "Bacterial small subunit ribosomal RNA", at positions 360 to 773 of the family's 1533-position model. The record is from RNAcentral.
AAUAUUGCACAAUGGGCGGAAGCCUGAUGCAGCGACGCCGCGUGAGGGAUGACGGCCUUCGGGUUGUAAACCUCUUUCAGCAGGGACGAAGCGCAAGUGACGGUACCUGCAGAAGAAGCGCCGGCCAACUACGUUCCAGCAGCCGCGGUAAGACGUAGGGCGCGAGCGUUGUCCGGAUUUAUUGGGCGUAAAGAGCUCGUAGGCGGCUUGUCGCGUCGACUGUGAAAACCCGUGGCUCAACUGCGGGCCUGCAGUCGAUACGGGCAGGCUAGAGUUCGGUAGGGGAGACUGGAAUUCCUGGUGUAGCGGUGAAAUGCGCAGAUAUCAGGAGGAACACCGGUGGCGAAGGCGGGUCUCUGGGCCGAUACUGACGCUGAGGAGCGAAAGCGUGGGGAGCGAAC